GUAACGCUAGCGGCAGGCCUUAUACAUGCAAGUCGAACGGUAACAUUGGUGCUUGCACCAGAUGACGAGUGGCGCACGGGUGCGUAACGCGUAUGCAACCUACCUUUUACUAGAGUAUAGCCCAGAGAAAUUUGGAUUAAUCCUCUAUAACAUCUUUUAAUUUCAUGAUUAAUAGAUUAAAGUUUUAAUGGUAAAAGAUGGGCAUGCGUCCUAUUAGUUUGUAGGUGAGGUAACGGCUCACCUAGACUACGAUAGGUAGGGGCCCUGAGAGGGGGAUCCCCCACACUGGUACUGAGACACGGACCAGACUCCUACGGGAGGCAGCAGUAAGGAAUAUUGGACAAUGGACGAAAGUCUGAUCCAGCCAUGCCGCGUGCAGGAUGAAAGCCCUAUGGGUUGUAAACUGCUUUUAUACAGGAAGAAAAACUCCGACGUGUCGGAGCUUGACGGUACUGUAAGAAUAAGGAUCGGCUAACUCCGUGCCAGCAGCCGCGGUAAUACGGAGGAUCCAAGCGUUAUCCGGAAUCAUUGGGUUUAAAGGGUCCGCAGGCGGUCUUUUAAGUCAGAGGUGAAAGCCUACAGCUCAACUGUAGAACGGCCUUUGAUACUGAAAGACUUGAGUUAUUGUGAAGUGGUUAGAAUGUGUGGUGUAGCGGUGAAAUGCAUAGAUAUCACACAGAAUACCAAUUGCGAAGGCAGAUCACUAACAAUAUACUGACGCUCAUGG
Molecule: ribosomal RNA, 727 nt
Filed under: uncultured Bacteroidota bacterium
Lineage: Bacteria; Pseudomonadati; Bacteroidota
Description: bacterial SSU rRNA
Rfam family: Bacterial small subunit ribosomal RNA
Source: RNAcentral